This is a non-coding RNA of Podarcis lilfordi (Lilford's wall lizard), 75 nucleotides long. The record is from the annotation of a GenBank genome assembly. NCBI's taxonomy places the organism in Eukaryota, Metazoa, Chordata, Lepidosauria, Squamata, Lacertidae.
GGAAUGGCCAUAGUUCAGUGGCAGAAUGUCUGCUUUCCAUGCAUAAGGUCCAAGGUUCAAUCCCUGCCACCUCCA